UGGAUCCAGACUUUGAUUCUGGCUCAGGACGAACGCUGGCGGCGUGCCUAACACAUGCAAGUCGAACGAAGCUUGAUUUAUGAUUUCUUCGGAAUGAAUAAUGAUAUGACUGAGUGGCGGACGGGUGAGUAACGCGUGAGCAACCUGCCCUUCGGAACGGGAUAGCGUCUGGAAACGGACGGUAAUACCGUAUAACGUAUUUUUACCGCAUGAUAGAAAUACCAAAACUGAGGUGCCGAAGGAUGGGCUCGCGUCUGAUUAGAUAGUUGGUGCGGUAACGGCCUACCAAGUCGACGAUCAGUAGCCGGACUGAGAGGUUGAACGGCCACAUUGGGACUGAGACACGGCCCAGACUCUUACGGGAGGCAGCAGUGGGGAAUAUUGCACAAUGGGGGAAACCCUGAUGCAGCAACGCCGCGUGAAGGAAGACGGUUUUCGGAUUGUAAACUUCUGUUCUUAGUGAAGAUAAUGACGGUAGCUAAGGAGCAAGCCACGGCUAACUACGUGCCAGCAGCCGCGGUAAUACGUAGGUGGCAAGCGUUGUCCGGAAUUACUGGGUGUAAAGGGAGCGUAGGCGGGAAGCCAAGUCAGCUGUGAAAACUACGGGCUUAACCUGUAGACUGCAGUUGAAACUGGUUUUCUUGAGUGAAGUAGAGGUUGGCGGAAUUCCGAGUGUAGCGGUGAAAUGCGUAGAUAUACGGAGGAACACCGGUGGCGAAGGCGGCCAACUGGGCUUUAACUGACGCUGAGGCUCGAAAGUGUGGGGAGCAAACAGGAUUAGAUACCCUGGUAGUCCACACUGUAAACGAUGAUAACUAGGUGUGGGGGGUCUGACCCCUUCCGUGCCGCAGCUAACGCAAUAAGUUAUCCACCUGGGGAGUACGACCGCAAGGUUGCAACUCAAAUGAAUUGACGGA
This 917-nucleotide ribosomal RNA is filed under the name uncultured Bacillota bacterium. Its description in RNAcentral is "bacterial SSU rRNA". It matches the Rfam family "Bacterial small subunit ribosomal RNA", at positions 1 to 917 of the family's 1533-position model. The record is from RNAcentral. Lineage: Bacteria; Bacillati; Bacillota.